This 457-nucleotide ribosomal RNA is filed under the name uncultured bacterium. Its description in RNAcentral is "partial 16S ribosomal RNA". It matches the Rfam family "Bacterial small subunit ribosomal RNA", at positions 338 to 794 of the family's 1533-position model. The record is from RNAcentral.
CCUACGGGAGGCAGCAGUGGGGAAUUUUGCGCAAUGGGGGCAACCCUGACGCAGCAACGCCGCGUGAGUGAUGAAGGCCUUCGGGUCGUAAACCCCUGUCAGGAGGGACGAAGCCCUGAUCAUAUAUCAGGGUGACGGUACCUCCAGAGGAAGCCCCGGCUAACUACGUGCCAGCAGCCGCGGUAAUACGGAGGGUGCAAGCGUUGUUCGGAAUUAUUGGGCGUAAAGCGCGUGUAGGCGGCCCGAUAAGUCUGGUGUGAAAGCCCUUGGCUCAACCAAGGAAGUGCACCUGAAACUGUCGGGCUAGAGUACUGGAGAGGAGAGUAGAAUUCCCAGUGUAGAGGUGAAAUUCGUAGAUAUUGGGAGGAACACCGGUGGCGAAGGCGGCUCUCUGGACGGAUACUGACGCUGAGGGACGAAAGCCAGGGGAGCGAACGGGAUUAGAUACCCCGGUAGU